This 1432-nucleotide long non-coding RNA is filed under the name Oryctolagus cuniculus (rabbit). RNAcentral describes it as "lncRNA (ENSOCUG00000034088.1)". Lineage: Eukaryota; Metazoa; Chordata; Mammalia; Lagomorpha; Leporidae. The record is from RNAcentral.
ACUUUAAGCGGCACCCCUGGCCCUGGCCCAGCCUCUGCCCCCAGCCCGAGCUUUUCUCCCCUGGGUCUCAGUGUGUCAGAGGAGAGCCAACGAAGCAAGUCAAGUUUGCUGGAACUGUGGAUCUAGACCAGAGAGGUGGGCUCAGGAGGCAAGGUCAGGUUUCCCAGCCUGGGGGCACUAUUCCAGGCAGGGGAAGGAGUGUAGCUUCAUUAACUGUGGACAGUCUACCUGGAUUUCCCAUUCGAAGCACCUGGCUCUUCAAUACACACACCAGGCAGAGAGGAGGCAGGCCCUGGGCACCGCAGGGGGUCGUGAAGCUGGGUUUGCCCCCCCCCCCCCCGAGAAACUCCAGCACCCACAGUGAGCUCCCAGGGGCAAGGCAGCCGCACCCUUGGACCCCGUUUACCCGCUCGCAUUAUCACACGCUAGAGAUAGAGGGGUCUGUCCAGUUGUUUUGGGCCUAGGGUGUCCCUGGCCUGGCUCCCUGUGCAAAUGUACGCCCCCCCACCGCCCCCAACUUUCCCCAGCGAUCUCGAUGCCCUUUCCAGGGGUAUUUUCCGCCCCUGAGUCCGGAGGGACCUUGGCAGCUAGAGCGGCAGGGGGCUGACGGCCUCCCGGGCUCAGGGUGGGGGUUGGGGAGGCCCCGGGGAGCCGGGCUGCGCUGCGGCUCCCGCGCUAAUCAAUGGGCCGCAGCCGGCGGGAGAGGCCGGGCCGGGGGAUUAGGGGCCGAGAAGGGCGAUUACGGAGCCCGGCCGUCCUCGGCCGCGCGGCCCAAAUGCCGCAUUUCGGAUGCAGCGCCGCGCUCGGCGUGUUUGCUCCGAGGGCUGGGGCCCUGGGGCAGGAAGCCAACUCGCAAGUGUAUCGGAGAUUAGAGCGAGCGGCGGCGGGGGCGGGCGCUGGACAAACACGCCGCGGCAGCCUCAAUCCCCCGGCCUGGAUUCCGCCCGCGGCCGCGCGCGCCCGCCAGGACCUAGCCGGAGAUUUUUUGUUUUCUUCUCUCCAGUGUCGUGAAUUGCCGCACCUUUUCUGUAAAGAGCACGCACGUGGCGGACCCUGGUUUGGUGCAAAAGCCCGCGGUGGGAGAGAUGGCCACGAGCAGGGGGGACGCACCCACUGUCUUCCCCCGACUCCUCCCGCGCCCAGGUUCCUUCCGCCCCUCCCCAAUCUGCCUGUGGCUCCCGGCUGGGGACGGACGAGAAAGGAUGUAAAGGCUUCCCCGGCGCACUCAUUGGGGCUGCAGAUAUCAGGUAGCUCUGUCCCCUUCCGCGGCGUGCGAGGUCCAGCACCUGCAUCGCGCGGUCUGCGCGCGCCCCCUGCUGCCCACUUUGGGAAACGACACUCUCCUAAGGCCUGGCUCUUGGAUCCCGGUUUCCAGCGACCCCGCCUCACCUCUCACGUCCAGGAAGAGCAGGUACCUUAUUUAUUUGUUUAA